This 425-nucleotide ribosomal RNA is filed under the name uncultured bacterium. Its description in RNAcentral is "partial 16S ribosomal RNA". It matches the Rfam family "Bacterial small subunit ribosomal RNA", at positions 354 to 796 of the family's 1533-position model. The record is from RNAcentral.
GUGAGGAAUAUUGCACAAUGGAGGAAACUCUGAUGCAGCAACGCCGCGUGGAGGAUGACGCAUUUCGGUGUGUAAACUCCUUUUAAGAGGGAAGAUUAUGACGGUACCUCUUGAAUAAGCACCGGCUAACUCCGUGCCAGCAGCCGCGGUAAUACGGAGGGUGCAAGCGUUACUCGGAAUCACUGGGCGUAAAGGGUGCGUAGGCUGACUUUUAAGUCAGGCGUGAAAUCCAAUGGCUUAACCAUUGAACUGCGCUUGAAACUGGGAGUCUAGAGUUCAGAAGGGGCAGAUGGAAUUAGUGGUGUAGGGGUAAAAUCCGUAGAUAUCACUAGGAAUAUCAAAAGCGAAGGCGAUCUGCUGGGAUGAUACUGACGCUGAGGCACGAAAGCGUGGGGAGCAAACAGGAUUAGAUACCCCAGUAGUCC